GAUGAACGCUAGCUACAGGCUUAACACAUGCAAGUCGAGGGACCGGCGUACGGGUGAGUAACGCGUAUCCAACCUUCACAUUACUGUGGGAUAACCUGCCGAAAGGCAGACUAAUACCGCAUAGUACUGGAUGGGGAUGCGUUUGAUUAGCUUGUUGGCGGGGUAACGGCCCACCAUGGCGACGUUCAGUAGGGGUUCUGAGAGGAAGGUCCCCUACGUUGGAAGUAGGACACGGACUCAAGUCCUACGGGAGACUGCGGAGAGGAAUAUUGGGGAAUGAACGGGAGUCUAAACCAGCUAAGUGUCGUGCAGGAUGACGGCCUAUGGGAUGAAAACGGCUUUGAUAUGUGGAUAGGUACCAGAUGAAUAAGGACCGGCUAAUUCCGUGCCAGCAGCCGCGGUAAUAC
RNAcentral lists this ribosomal RNA (407 nucleotides) under uncultured bacterium. Its description in RNAcentral is "partial 16S ribosomal RNA". It matches the Rfam family "Bacterial small subunit ribosomal RNA", at positions 28 to 526 of the family's 1533-position model. The record is from RNAcentral.